AUUGAACGCUGGCGGCAUGCCUUACACAUGGAAGUCGAACGGCAGCGGGGGAAAAGCUUGCUUUUCCUGCCGGCGAGUGGCGAACGGGUGAGUAAUACAUCGGAACGUGCCCUGUAGUGGGGGAUAACUAGUCGAAAGAUUAGCUAAUACCGCAUACGACCUGAGGGUGAAAGUGGGGGACCGCAAGGCCUCAUGCUAUAGGAGCGGCCGAUGUCUGAUUAGCUAGUUGGUGGGGUAAAGGCCUACCAAGGCGACGAUCAGUAGCUGGUCUGAGAGGACGAUCAGCCACACUGGGACUGAGACACGGCCCAGACUCCUACGGGAGGCAGCAGUGGGGAAUUUUGGACAAUGGGCGAAAGCCUGAUCCAGCAAUGCCGCGUGUGUGAAGAAGGCCUUCGGGUUGUAAAGCACUUUUGUCCGGAAAGAAAUGGCUCUGGUUAAUACCUGGGGUCGAUGACGGUACCGGAAGAAUAAGGACCGGCUAACUACGUGCCAGCCGCCGCGGUAA
This 508-nucleotide ribosomal RNA is filed under the name uncultured bacterium. Its description in RNAcentral is "partial 16S ribosomal RNA". It matches the Rfam family "Bacterial small subunit ribosomal RNA", at positions 30 to 523 of the family's 1533-position model. The record is from RNAcentral.